This 401-nucleotide ribosomal RNA is filed under the name uncultured bacterium. RNAcentral describes it as "bacterial SSU rRNA". It matches the Rfam family "Bacterial small subunit ribosomal RNA", at positions 356 to 774 of the family's 1533-position model. The record is from RNAcentral.
GGGGAAUCUUGCACAAUGGAGGAAACUCUGAUGCAGCGACGCCGCGUGAACGAUGAAGCCCUUCGGGGUGUAAAGUUCUUUCGACAGGGACGAUAAUGACGGUACCUGAAGAAGAAGCUGCGGCUAACUACGUGCCAGCAGCCGCGGUAAUACGUAGGCAGCGAGCGUUGUUCGGAAUUACUGGGCGUAAAGAGUGCGUAGGUGGUUGGCUAAGUUUGGUGUGAAAUCUCCCGGCUUAACUGGGAGGGUGCGCCGAAAACUGGCUGGCUAGAGUGUGGGAGAGGAACGUGGAAUUCCUGGUGUAACGGUGAAAUGCGUAGAUAUCAGGAGGAACACCUGAGGUGUAGACGGCGUUCUGGACCAUUACUGACACUGAGGCACGAAAGCGUGGGGAGCAAACA